GGGGGAUUUAUAGAGUAUCAGUCAUGUUUAUUAGGAUGGAUGGGGGGAUUUAUAGAGUAUCAGUCAUGUUUAUUAGGAUGGAGGGAAUUUAUAGAGUAUCAGUCAUGUUUAUUCGGAUGGAUGGGGGGAUUUAUAGAGUAUCAGUCAUAUUUAUUAGGAUGGAGGGGAUUUAUAGAGUAUCAGUCAUGUUUAUUAGGAUGGAGGGGAUUUAUAGAGUAUCAGUCAUGUUUAUUAGGAUGGAUGGGGGGAUUUAUAGAGUAUCAGUCAUGUUUAUUAGGAUGGAGGGGGGGAUUUAUAGAGUAUCAGUCAUGUUUAUUAGGAUGGGGGGGAUUUAUAGAGUAUCAGUCAUGUUUAUUAGGAUGGAGGGGGGGGAUUUAUAGAGUAUCAGUCAUGUUUAUUAGGAUGGAGGGGGAUUUAUAGAGUAUCAGUCA
This is a long non-coding RNA of Oncorhynchus tshawytscha (Chinook salmon), 431 nucleotides long. Lineage: Eukaryota; Metazoa; Chordata; Actinopteri; Salmoniformes; Salmonidae. The record is from Ensembl.